UGCCGCAGGUUCGGGUCUCACGUAGUGAGACAACGGAGCCGCUUGCGGCGACGGCCCGAAGGGCGAGCAAAGCGAGUCAUCCUGCACGACCCACCA
RNAcentral lists this small RNA (96 nucleotides) under Salmonella enterica subsp. enterica serovar Infantis. Its description in RNAcentral is "partial RtT sRNA". It matches the Rfam family "RtT RNA", at positions 33 to 130 of the family's 130-position model. Rfam says of the family: This family represents a bacterial cis-regulatory element known as RtT RNA. RNAcentral also lists the same sequence under 5 other names. The record is from RNAcentral. Lineage: Bacteria; Pseudomonadati; Pseudomonadota; Gammaproteobacteria; Enterobacterales; Enterobacteriaceae.